RNAcentral lists this ribosomal RNA (253 nucleotides) under uncultured microorganism. Its description in RNAcentral is "partial 16S ribosomal RNA". It matches the Rfam family "Bacterial small subunit ribosomal RNA", at positions 524 to 776 of the family's 1533-position model. The record is from RNAcentral.
UACGGAGGGGGCAAGCGUUGCUCGGAUUCACUGGGCGUAAAGCGUGCGCAGGCGGCCCGUUAAGACAGGUGUGAAAUCCCUGGGCUCAACCUAGGAAUUGCGCUUGUGACUGGCGGGCUCGAGUACGGUAGAGGGGGGUGGAAUUCCUGGUGUAGCAGUGAAAUGCGUAGAGAUCAGGAGGAACACCGAUGGCGAAGGCAGCCCCCUGGGCCUGUACUGACGCUCAUGCACGAAAGCGUGGGGAGCAAACAGG